CUUCUCCACAGAGGCCUCUGGGGUCACAGGCGGGGCAGAGGCCGAGCUGCGCAGCCUGGGGGUGGAGCUCUGUGCCAGCCCGCUGCCGCCGGGACUGGGGAAGCCCUCGCCGGGCUGGCAGCUCCCCCGGGCCCCACUGUGCGGGCGGGGAGCGCGCCUGACCCAGCCAUUGUUUCCUAUCUCCGCACCAGCGUCAGUGGAAAAUCUCCCCCCUGCCGCGCCUGGGUCGGGCUAUUUAUCCGGCGGCGCUGCCGUCACGGAGAGCGGCGCUGCUGACGGGGGAGCUGACGCUCUUGGCCGCUACCGCUGGGUUUGCGGCGGCUACAGUGGGGCUCUGUGUGGCGCUGGGAACGGGGCGCGGAGGUCCCGCCGCAGCCCCCGCUUUCUCCUCCUCCUGGCCCCCGGCUGCGGCAAGUGGGGGCCGGGCGCUGCUGCUAGCGCCGCCCCCGGGCCGCGCCUGGCCUUGUGCUGCCUCUCCUCCUCUGGCGGCGCCCGGGCUGAGCUUGGGGAGCGCGGCCCGCGCAGCUGGGGCAUGGUGCGGUGCGGCUCUGAUGGGAGGGACGCGCGGCGGACAACACAGGCAGGAAAGGAGCCAGUGGGACUAGAUAUCUGAGACUUGAUUGCAGCAGAAAACUCAAUUUGAAGACACACAGCAAUUCUCAGAAGUCUCAUUCUCUCAAGAAGCCAAUAUAUGGGACAACUGUUUAUUAUGAAACUAUUGGCAAUCAAGCAAGCUCUCUUUGUUCCAAACUCCAAGGAAGUCACUGUUUAAAGUGCUUGUUAUGUGCCUUUUAAAACAGGUUCCUAAAGUGGCCGUAAUGAAAAGGUAGUGCUCUUACUUUCACUCUGAGUAACUCUAUUCUGUGAGUUAAGUUUUUUUUGCUUUUUUCAGAAUUCUGUUCUAGUCUUUGAUCCCACUGAAGUCACUGGGAGUUUUACUGUUGACAUAAAUAGGGUGAUGCAUAUACAGUGUUUCAUAUGUUUUUGAGAUGAGGAAAAUACUGUUUCAUGCAAGUCUUCAUUAAGCAUUUAAUUAAAAGUUCCCUAGUUAAGGCUUAAUUUCUAAAUUGUGAUGUGUAUUAAAUGUAUAUACAGAUUAUAUGUAAUAUAUACAAUAAAAUAUUAUAAUUGAGUUCCUUAGAGUGGUGG
This 1149-nucleotide long non-coding RNA is filed under the name Gopherus agassizii (Agassiz's desert tortoise). RNAcentral's name for it is "lncRNA (ENSGAGG00000000458.1)". Lineage: Eukaryota; Metazoa; Chordata; Testudines; Testudinidae. The record is from RNAcentral.